RNAcentral lists this ribosomal RNA (301 nucleotides) under uncultured bacterium. Its description in RNAcentral is "partial 16S ribosomal RNA". It matches the Rfam family "Bacterial small subunit ribosomal RNA", at positions 509 to 807 of the family's 1533-position model. The record is from RNAcentral.
CAGCAGCCGCGGUAAGACAGAGGUCCCGAGCGUUGUUCGGAUUCAUUGGGCGUAAAGGGUGUGUAGGAGGCCAGGUAAGUCAGGUGUGAAAUCUCAGAGCUUAACUCUGAAACUGCGCUUGAUACUGCUUGGCUAGAGGAUCGGAGGGGGUAACGGAACUUAUGGUGUAGCAGUGAAAUGCGUAGAUAUCAUAAGGAACACCGGUGGCGAAGGCGGUUACCUGGAAGAUUCCUGACUCUGAAACACGAAAGCCAGGGGAGCAAACGGGAUUAGAUACCCGCGUAGUCCCUGUCUCUUAUAC